CCUACGGGAGGCAGCAGUGAGGAAUAUUGGUCAAUGGGCGCGAGCCUGAACCAGCCAAGUCGCGUGUGGGAAGACGGCCCUACGGGUUGUAAACCUCUUUUGCCGUGGAGCAACGGGCGCCACGUGUGGCGCCACUGAGAGUACCCGGAGAAAAAGCAUCGGCUAACUCCGUGCCAGCAGCCGCGGUAAUACGGUGGAUGCGAGCGUUAUCCGGCUUUAUUGGGUUUAAGGGGUGCGUAGGCGGAGCGGUAAGUCAGUGGUAAAAUUGAGGGGCUCAACCCCUUCCCGCCAUUGAAACUGGCGCUCUUGAGUGGAAGAGAAGUAUGCGGAAUGCGUGGUGUAGCGGUGAAAUGCAGAGAUAUCACGCAGAACCCCGAUUGCGAAGGCAGCAUGCCGGCUUCCGACUGACGCUGAAGCACGAAAGCGUGGGGAUCGAACAGGAUUAGAUACCCGUGUAGUC
This 460-nucleotide ribosomal RNA is filed under the name uncultured bacterium. RNAcentral describes it as "partial 16S ribosomal RNA". It matches the Rfam family "Bacterial small subunit ribosomal RNA", at positions 338 to 795 of the family's 1533-position model. The record is from RNAcentral.